Molecule: ribosomal RNA, 234 nt
Filed under: uncultured bacterium
Lineage: Bacteria
Description: partial 16S ribosomal RNA
Rfam family: Bacterial small subunit ribosomal RNA
Source: RNAcentral
CGACAGGGCGCGGAACCCGAAAACCUGUCUCAGUUCGGAUUGGAGUCUGCAACCCGACUCCAUGAAGCUGGAUUCGCUAGUAAUCGCGCAUCAGCCACGGCGCGGUGAAUACGUUCCCGGGCCUUGUACACACCGCCCGUCAAGCCAUGGAAGCCGGGAGUGCCCGAAGUGCGUGACCGCAAGGAGCGUCCUAAGGCAAUACCGGUGACUGGGGCUAAGUCGUAACAAGGUACC